Molecule: long non-coding RNA, 3824 nt
Organism: Lagopus leucura (white-tailed ptarmigan)
Lineage: Eukaryota; Metazoa; Chordata; Aves; Galliformes; Phasianidae
Exons: 4
Source: RefSeq, a predicted model, not a curated record
GAAUAUUUUUUUGACUUGUAGCUUCCUGAACCAUCCUUAAAAAUGUUGCAAAUACACUGACACUCCUGCUGUUGAUCUAAAUAGCAACCAGUGUUGGCUUUCAGCUGUAGGGGCCAGUGAGCAGGCUCCAUCCUCACGUCCUCCCGUGUCGGGUGACUCAUCAGCAAGUCUGAGAAUGUGCAGCAGGCUGCGGACCCUGGCAGGAAAGCACAGCAGACAGCAAGAGAGGCCUCUGGGAGCUGACGAGAAUUUGAUCAUGUUCGGCCUGGUGCUAAAAACAAAAUCGAAAAAAAAGAUUAUUGCUAAAAUUGGUGAGUUGGAUUCCAGUGGGAUAUGAUAGGUGGUGAAAGCUCCCUCUGAUGCCCAGAAGUUCAUCUGGAAAAGGAGUGGCAAAAUGAAUUUCUCCAGAUCCUUCCUCUUCAAUACAUUGUUAAAAGAUUGAAAGGCAAAACUCCUCAGCCUGACUUUAACCUGCUAGCACCUGGGACUGAGGGCAGGUCUGUAGCUACAAGCCAGGUCUCCUGUUGAAGGGAAGCUUUCUCUCACUGACCCCUGCCAAGGCCCCCAUAACUCCCUUUGUCUAUCGCAGUACUAAGUUUGGAUGUUUCACCUAUUUCUACCUGGAAAAACUUAAGACCAAGAAAUGCCUUGUAAAAUAAGGUCUACAUAUCUGCUCUUCAAUGAUUUAGGUUAAUGUCUUUCCAGAUUGGUGCCAUGCUCUGCCCUGCUUCAUAGGUCAACCCAAGAGGUGCUUUUUGGGCUGCACUCCACCGACUCACUCCUCUUCAUUGUUACAGUAAUAAAUUUUUCAGUAUCCUGCUGACUUAUUUGGGCAUAUCUGAGUUGGCCAGUCUAGCUUUCAGAGUUCAACAAGGAGUAUGGAAACACUCAGUGUUCCCUUCCAAUCUCAUGUUAUUACAUAUAACGUGAAUGUCAUGCCACUCGUCAUUAAGCUACAGCAGCAUCUGUCUUGUGAUGCUGUCAGACUCUGCAAGUCUAGACAUUUUGCCUCUGACAGAAAGUAAAGGUGGCUUAAAUGGGGCAAGGCCAGGGCAGGAAAGUAUGUGUGUUUACCUUGACCCCGAAGUACCUUUAAAAAUGCAUAAAUAAAUAGGAAAAGGUGCAGAAUCCAAUCAUGUGUUCUCAGUGGUGUAAGUUACACAUCAUGUAUCUGUCGGUCAGGAAACAGGUGUAUGUGGGUGUAAGUGCCAAAGCUGUUUGACUUGCAGCAAGUUGGCAUUUAGUGGGAGUGCAGUGUGAGUGUAACAUACACUCCCAGAUAUGGAAUAACAAGUGAGGGGGAUGUAGUGAAGCAGCUAGAUCAUCAAAGAGUUAAGCAAAUUUGCAGUACCCGCAGGAAAAAAAGAAAAAUUGAAGAUACUGCAUAUUUCACUGUUGAUUUUUUUUUUUUUUUUUCCAUUCAUGUCCACAGUGUCAAAUCUGCUGUUGAUUUCAGAGGGACUGCACAAGCUCCCUACUGUUAUACUUAGUACCACUUCUGCCCCCCUUGAAUCGGCAUCUAGAACAGCUGCAAGAUAUUUUGCAACCAGACGCAAGUUUCCUCUUCCUGUUCUCUGAGCCAACCAGAUGCAAACUGGCCUCAAACCAGAAGCCAUGUAGCUACAGUUAGCAGGCACACAGCCCAAGCUAACAAGCCUUGCUGAGAAGGCAGGAUGUAUUUGCUCAGGCUCAGCACUGUGCUACUGCAGCUACACAGUCUCUGCUGAGCUCAGAGUACAGGCAAUGCCUGUUCCUGGCUACCAGGACCGCAGGCAAAAGCUACUGAUAUCACUGUGAGAAGUAGAAGAAAUGUCAGAAAGUUAUGGAUUUCACCUUUGGCUCUUAAAUAAACCAGAGGGCCCCUACAGUUUUUUGAGACACAUAUUUUAAUACAUGCAUACAUAUAUAUAUAUAUGUAUAUAUAUAUAUAUCUUGAAUAUAUAUAUGGGUCCUGGUGCAGGUUUCAGGAACUCCUAACAGCAGGAGGCCAGUAGGCCAGUAAAAUAAUCUGGAAGUGGAUACAAUGGGUAAUCUUUUGUGCCUUCUGAAUCAUCUCAACAGCAUUUUGUAUAUUCUGUGUGUUCUGGCAUAAAUAAUCUCCUGGACAGGAAAAGGAGCAAAAAAAAUCAACUUGAAAAUUGCUAUACCGCCUUGGUAGAAGAGAAGGGAAAUUGAGGGAGAUCUCCAAAGAUUUGAAAAUGCUUGUAAUAAGCACUUACAUUUUUUCAGUAGAUUUGCCCAUCAGUAGUCAAAGGUCUUAUUCACAUAUCACGUGUAUUUUCCCUGAUAAAAUUGCCUUUUCUUCUGGAAGAUGCAUCUCAUUUUAAAUUGCUGCCAACUCUAAUCAAAACCACCUACGCAACAAUACUGAGCUUUUUUUUCCCACCUCAGUCUCCUAAAAGAUUUUCUUUUAGGAUUGCACAAAAUUGCACAUAAGAAAUUCAAUACAUAGGGAUAAAAGAAUUUAAAUGAACAAGGCCCAGGUCCCAUGUAUGUGUAUUUCAGUGCUCCAGCACCAUUUCUGGCAGACAGUUGAAGAUUUACCCAAUGAUUAAGGUGUUCCUCUGCUACACAUAGAUCUUUCACAGCGUUAGAAGCUUUCUUUCCUCUGAUUACACUGGGUUUUAAUCUAUUUUUCUGCGUGGAGUAAAUUUUUUCAGAAAUUCACACAAUAAGCUGUUGAGGUCUUGAUAGAGCUUAUCAUACUGUGUAAUAAAAUUCCUCAGGUAUUUAUAAGGGAAGCAUGUGGGAUAAAAGUUUAGAGAAGGCUGGCAAUUCAGGUUGGAUACAGCCCACUGGCCAAAAACUGAACAGGUCGUUCACACUGAAUGAGCACCUGAAGAUGAUUCACAUGUAGCAAGUGAUAAUAAAAAGCUUCUUCAGAUGUAGAGGACAUUUUUUAAAUAAGAUGUUACUGAAAGUUUAGGGUCAGAAAGAUAUGGGUAAGAUAGAUUUUCCCGCAGUUCUUUUCUUCAGAUAGUAUAUCUUUAAGAAAAUAUAACUUAUUAGGCAUUUAUAAGGUAGUUUAAUACUGAGGGUUAUUUAGAUCUGAUAUUCCAUGAAAGUUUUACUUCUUACUCUAUCCAAAAUGAGUAUAUUGAACUUAUAUAUUUAAACAGUAUAAGUUGAAGAGGUUAGCAGAUAUCCCCUUCCAAUGAAAUUAUUAAUGACCUGUUCAAAGAAACUGUAAAAAAAAAAAAAAAAGAAAGAAAAAGAAAAAGAGAAAAAGAGAGACACAAAAAAGAAAAAAAUACACAACAUCAAUACCUCUUAUUAACCAUGGCUUUUAGAUUAACCGUGGCUUGCAGCAAGAUAGUUCACAGGUGCAUCAAAAACUGCUCUUACCCAGCAGGUUAUUGAAAUUAAUCCAGCCCAAAUAGAGAGAUAGAGUGCAUCCUCAGCAAGUUUGCUGAUGAUGCGAAGCAAGGAGGAAUGGCUGACAGACUAGAAAACCGUGCUGCUGUUCAGCAAGACAGAAUAACCUGGACAGACUAGAAGGUUGGGCAAAGAGGUGCCUGAUGAGGUUCCAGAAAGUCAAGUAUAGAGUCCCCUAUGCUUGUGGAGGAACAAUGCAUGCUCAUGCAUGCAUCAGUGCAGAACAGGGGCUGACCUGCUAGAGAGGAGCUCUGCAAAGAAGAAUAUGAAUGUCGUGAUGGCCAAUGGUUUAGCCAGCAGUUUGCUCUUGUGGUGAAGAAGAUCAGUGGUCUCUGGAGUGUAUUAAAAAGUGUAUGGCUGCUAAAAAGAGCAGGUUGAAACACAUCUGGAGUACUGUGCCCUCUUCUGUGCCUUUGGAAUGGCUGCUGUGGACACAGAAGGUGUUAAGC